UACGGGGGGUGCGAGCGUUGUCCGGAAUCACUGGGCGUAAAGGGCGCGUAGGUGGCUUUGUAAGUUUGCGGUGAAAGCCCGGGGCUCAACCCCGGGUCUGCCGUGGAUACUGCAAGGCUUGAGUACUGUAGAGGCAGGUAGAAUAUCGGGUGUAGCGGUGGAAGGCGUAGAGAUCCGAUAGAAGACCGGUGGCGAAGGCGGACUGCUGGGCAGUAACUGACGCUGAGGCGCGACAGCGUGGGGAGAAAACAGG
Molecule: ribosomal RNA, 253 nt
Filed under: uncultured bacterium
Lineage: Bacteria
Description: partial 16S ribosomal RNA
Rfam family: Bacterial small subunit ribosomal RNA
Source: RNAcentral